This 253-nucleotide ribosomal RNA is filed under the name uncultured bacterium. Its description in RNAcentral is "partial 16S ribosomal RNA". It matches the Rfam family "Bacterial small subunit ribosomal RNA", at positions 524 to 776 of the family's 1533-position model. The record is from RNAcentral.
UACGUAGGGUGCGAGCGUUAAUCGGAAUUACUGGGCGUAAAGCGCGCGCAGGCGGCUUAGCAAGUCAGGGGUGAAAGCCCGGGGCUCAACCUCGGAACUGCCUUUGAGACUGCUAGGCUCGAGACCGAGAGAGGAGAGUGGAAUUCCCAGUGUAGAGGUGAAAUUCGUAGAUAUUGGGAAGAACACCAGUGGCGAAGGCGGCUCUCUGGCUCGGUACUGACGCUGAGGCGCGAAAGCGUGGGGAGCAAACAGG